This is a regulatory RNA element of Clostridium sp. D5, 168 nucleotides long. It matches the Rfam family "M-box riboswitch aptamer (ykoK leader)". Rfam says of the family: M-box riboswitch, also know as ykoK leader is described as a metaloregulatory RNA that sense divalent metals and function as a genetic control element of genes related to divalent metal transport in bacteria. It was first reported upstream of the B.subtilis ykoK gene and genes with related functions in other bacteria. The record is from Rfam. Lineage: Bacteria; Bacillati; Bacillota; Clostridia; Eubacteriales; Clostridiaceae.
AAAACAUUUCGGUAGGUGAGGCUACCACAGGGAUUUGGAUUUUCCUGAGAUUGCUGCCGCGAGAUUGUGGAGACACAACAAGCUGGUUAGCAGGCUAUGUCGUGAAGGCAUAACCUAAUGCAAUUGAUAUGCCCUGUGAUGCUAAAGCUUGAACGGUGGAUUUUUAUA